GGAUGCGAGGGUGAUCUGGUUGCAGCAGAUCAUACCCCAUGGAACCAGGGUUAGUGGUGAUGGUCUGUUGGGCUUAGCAAAAUCCUUUUCCUCUUUCGUUGCUCUGUGUGUCUCUCCCAGAGUUUCUCAUUCUGUUGAAGAUGACCUUUUCCAGGGGCUGAGGAACAGUCUUUCAGUCAAGAAUAUAUAAGCAGUUAUGCUAACCUAUAAGUAAACUAUUUAUGGAAGAAAUAAGAUAGUCAAAUUUCAAGACUCCAGGCCCAUCAAAAGGAGUCAGCCUGUUUUU
This 286-nucleotide small nuclear RNA is filed under the name Rattus norvegicus (Norway rat). Its description in RNAcentral is "7SK RNA". It matches the Rfam family "7SK RNA". From Rfam's summary of the family: 7SK was discovered as an abundant small nuclear RNA in the mid-70s but a possible function has only recently been suggested. Lineage: Eukaryota; Metazoa; Chordata; Mammalia; Rodentia; Muridae. The record is from Rfam by way of RNAcentral.